CGACGCCUUUCUUGAAUGAAACCGUCGCAGUCAGUUCGCAUCAAGGCGUCCACCCUCGCUUCCACUUUUCACGGAUUUUUUAAUCGUCCUCCGAGGAAGUGACAUUUCACGGUGAUAAAUCAUUUCGAUCACGUCCACAUCACGUCUUCUCUAAAUCUUCAGUAUUAUGAAACAUGAAGAUUACUUAAUCGAAAGAAGAAAUAUGACAUUCCAAUUUCCAAGGAUGGACAAGGAGAUUAAUGAAGUGAAGAAAUAUGAGAAUAUCUUUGAAAAGAUUCACAUUCGACGUACCAAGGCUCUUGAGUGCUUUUCGGCACGAGGAAUUCGUAAAUAUUUCGCUCAUAUGCUAAAAUAAAGCGUUUCGUAGAGUGCGUUAGGUUUCCUGAGUCUCGUUGGCUGAUUCAUUAUAGUUAUAUAGGAAAUCGAACAUUUUAUGCGAUAAAAUAAUUCUUACUAUAUA
Long non-coding RNA from Apis cerana (Asiatic honeybee), 460 nucleotides. RefSeq lists it as uncharacterized. Lineage: Eukaryota; Metazoa; Arthropoda; Insecta; Hymenoptera; Apidae. The record is from RefSeq and is a predicted model, not a curated record.